Molecule: transfer RNA, 678 nt
Filed under: uncultured bacterium
Lineage: Bacteria
Description: partial ITS between 16S rRNA and 23S rRNA
Rfam family: tRNA (bases 291-365)
Source: RNAcentral
GGAGAACCUGUGGCUGGAUCACCUCCUUUCUAAGGAGAAGCGCCACCUUUCGGGGUGAGCGCUACGGUCAACCUCUCAUUUGCUCAGGCUUAGGCUUGAGCUAUCCAUCCGGUUUUCAAAGACGCUUGCGGGGUGACCGCUGAAGCGUCUUUGGAAGAAGAGAAGUAGGGUUCCAAGUCAUGGGCCCGUAGCUCAGCUGGGAGAGCGCCUGGUUUGCAUCCAGGAGGUCGUCGGUUCGAACCCGGUCGGGUCCACCACCCAGCCGAGGCGAAUCACCAGCCAAAACCGAAGGGCCUAUAGCUCAGCCUGGUUAGAGCGUACGCCUGAUAAGCGUAAGGUCGGUGGUUCGAAUCCACCUAGGCCCACCACAGGUGCUCCGAGCGGAAGCGAGGAGCUGGAUGCUGGAAGGCCGGGCGAGGCGGUGGGUGGAGCUUGGUGGUACUUCUCUCCUUGAUCUGAAGUGAGAAGCCGAGGGGCUUCUGAGUUCAGCUCAAGGGCUGACGGUCCGGAAGGGCCGAGGGCAAUCUUUGACAGUCAAAUAACGAAAUCGAGAAGGGUAGUCCAGAACGCUUCAGGGCGAGCUGGGCGCUUUAACAAGGCGAGUUGAGAGCUGAGCAACAUUGCGGGUCUUUCGUUGAUGGAAUGCAUUGAUGGAAGGCCAAGCUACGAAGGGUUGAC